This is a long non-coding RNA of Scylla paramamosain (green mud crab), 12605 nucleotides long. RefSeq lists it as uncharacterized. Lineage: Eukaryota; Metazoa; Arthropoda; Malacostraca; Decapoda; Portunidae. The transcript is spliced from 4 exons. The record is from RefSeq and is a predicted model, not a curated record.
CAUGCAUGCAUUCAUUCAUUCAUUCAUUCAUUCACAGCAUCAGGCGGCUUAACAGCUCGUGCAGAUUUCAUUUUUACCCCCAAAUACUUUUUUCUUAUAUCUCUUUCAUUUUAUUCAGUUUCGUUCCAGACUGUGUAGUUUCAGCAGGAGGGAAGAGUAAUAAUAGGUGAUGUGCAUGGAAGGGAUCAUUAUGUUGUGUGUGUGUGUUAGCAUCUUUCUGAUACUCUUUUGGUUAUAUGGGGGAUAAGAUGAACUCCAAAUAGCUGUUAUCACACACGGUUUUGAUUGAUGACUGAAAAUAAUCUGCGGGAAAAUCGCAGUCAUAUGCUGCUCACACAAGAGAGAGUUGUACACUGGAGGGAAGGGGGAGGGAUACCUAAUGGGGGCGGGGGAAUGUUAGGGAACCCGAUCCUUGGUAUGCUCGUGGCAAGAAACUGGAGAGGGCAGCACCGUCAACGCUCAGCUCGAAACAUGUAAACAAAAACCAGAGCCCACCACACCGCUGCCAACGCCUGUGUGUACACUGUGCUGUACAUGCCGCUCUGUGAUGCACAAGAGAGAGCUGUGUCCUGGAGGGAAGGAGAAGGGGAUACCCAAUGGGGGGAAUCCGAUCCCUGGUAUGUUCGUGGCAGAAACUGGAGAGGGCAGAACCGUCGACGCUCAGCUCGAAUCAUGUAAACAAAAUCCCAGCCCAUCACAACGCUGCCCACGCCUGUGUUCCUACAUACAUGCCGCUCUGUGAUGCCUCUCGCCUCUGUUGCUGUGUGGGACAAGAAAAGCCGCACACUCCCAUGGGCUCAGCUGUACUUAUUCCUCUGGGCUGCCAGACGGUUUUUUUUUUUUUUUUUUUUUUUUUUUUUGUGGGGGGGGAUAUUUUGGUCAUUAGCAGAAAAUACAAAAAUACAGUGUCUUUAAACAAGCGAUUACUGAGCUGACGCUGCCAGCCACAACUAUUGCUUGAUGAAUGAAAUACCAUGGCGUGUGUAAUAAUUGCAUAUAACAGGAACGUCUUACAUGGCAAGAUAUCUAGCAUGUUCAAAUCAUUUCAAGUUAAAUGUGGUGUGCAAUACGAGUACAGAGCACCAGGUGAUUGCAGUGGCUCCAAGUCUUGGGAAAGCCAUGUGUGGAGCACAAGCAGUCUGUCCACAUGGAAAAUUUUGAGCUCAAGCAUACCAGCAGCACAACACAUCUGAACAAUGCAGCUCCAAUUCCUGCAGAUAAACGAACUUCAGACACAUACCACACAGCAUUUCUGUGACUACACAACUGUGUCAUAACCAAUUAUAUUGUGGUAAAGUGGCUUACAGCAGGAAAGGAGACACAACUGGCUCAUCUGAGUCAAGCAUAUUAACUGUGAUGAGCAAUGUGAACAAGUAUUAUAAGAUGUUUUUGGCAAGGAAAAGAUGUGGUGGGAAUAAUGACUGCAUAUAAGGUUUAUAAUUCCUGUUAAUCACUUACUUGAAGAGGACAGAUCUUGUGGGUAUGGGAAAAGUUUAAGAUGGCAGAGGGACACCAUCCACAACACACAAGACAGUCCAGCAAUCUGGAAGGAAGACCAGCACAAUACCACAGCAAUUGAUGCAAAGAGCAGCAGAUUUUCUGCCUCCCAGGAUGCUGUAAUUUUUCAAUGGACAUCAGUGAUAUGCUUUGAUUAGUGUGACAGUGGAGGAGGAAGUGGAGGAGGCAACUUGCUGUAGCAGUAUGUUAUUACAGUCCUAAAAGGAUUACAGUAAUCACUACAUUUCUCAUUGAAAAAACAUUUUGUUAGUAGGAGCAACAAAUUCUGGCAGUCCUGUAAAGCAAGUUACUUCAAGGCAAAAUAUCUCAUGUAAUGAGUAUCAUCAAAGAUUUGUUUAAUUUUGACCAGGUUUUUUAUUCCAUUAUUGGAGGCAAGGAUAUUGGUGGACAUGACAAGAGUUUGAAACUUGGAAACCAUGCAUUUUUUUUCUUUUUUUUUUUUUUCUUUUUGUGAUUAGAGAACUAAUGAGAAAUGGAAAUGUUUUUUUUAGGAUAUUCCUUUUAUCUGGGAAAGAUUGAUAUUAUGUAGUGUGAUGACAUGUUCAUUAGGUUUAAGACAUACUAGAGUAACUGCACUUUUUUUUUUCUUUCUCUGACCAAGAGAGAAUACAAUGUUCUUUUAGAAUCUUGGCAUGUUUGCCAUCAAUGGUGAUGAGACUGUAACACUGUUUUAAAGGAGAAAAGUAAAGUGCAUACAGGGUAAUAUAAUUAAAUGCUGAAUUUUGAAUGAUCAUCAGCUAAAAUAUGAGACUUGCUCCUAACUGGUAAAUUCAACAUGUGUAGGAUUUUCAAGUAAUGAACAGAAUAGACACAUUCCAUGGUAGGCUUACUGGGACAAAAAGCUGUCCUUAUUGCAGUACAGGCAUGUAUAUCAGGUGCAUAGAUCCUUUUCAUUAUUGAAAUAGUUUAGUUACUCUUCAUUUUAAUGAUGUUUAUUGCUAAAUAUUGUAAAAUUUGCAAGGAAUGCAAGAGCAUCAUGGAAACUGCCAUUCACAUACUCUAACAAGACAGCACUUCAGGUGCUGUGGCAUGACUGGUCUUUGUUCAGUUCCUUUACCUUAGUUAUUAAUUGGAUGAACGAUGAACCAUACUUCCUAGCCAAGACUAAGACUUGGAUUACUUCAGAUUGACUUCAGUUACUAACUCUAAAUGUGAAGAUAUAGUGAUGGCAUCAGACUACUUCUAGUUCAUAAUCUUUUCCAUGUAACUGACUGUGCUUGAAGAAGAUUUUUGAGCCUCGUGAAUGUCACAUGACAAGGAUAUUUUGUCAGAUACCAGCCAUCAGUUAGACAGCAGCAGUGAGGCAGAUUAGAUUUGUGAUUUAGGUGGCCUUUUCAUUCCCCAAUGAGGAAAAGUGUAUUUUCUUUACCUGUCAUAAGUUUGUGUUGCUUCUGCAUGUGUUUCAGCAACUACCCAAAAGCUUUACUUUAAUCAGACUUGGAGUAUUUUAUGUCCCUAAAUAGGAAAUAGGAAGAAGAACUAAAUAUGAAAAGUUGAAUAGUAAAUUUGCAUACAGUACACAGAUGUGUGCACAAAAUUUCUUUCUAAGGGUUUUUGUUUUUCUUUUCACUGUAUUCUUGCUAUUCUGCUCUUGUCCUACUGUCUCAUUGCAUGUCCCAUGUCCAAGCUCAGGAUGCUGUAUUUUAUCCUUCAUAAUCGGAUGCCAUUGCCUUGCAGGCAGAUUUAGAUAGAAUGAAUGAAUGGACGGAUAGAUGGCAAAUGCAAUUUAAUAUCAAUAAAUGCAAAGCACUUAGCGAAGGUAGAGGAAACCCACACAACAGGUACACAUUAAACAACCAAACUCUGGUAGGUACAGGGUACGAGAAAGAUUUAGGAGUUAUAGUUAGCUCUGAACUCUGUCUAGGCAAACAAUGCAUAGAAGCCAGAAACAGGGCAAAUAGGGUACUAGGAUUCAUUUUUUGGAGUGUUAAAAGUAGAAGGCCGGAAGUAAUGUUAAAGUUAUACUUGGCACUGGUCAGACCUCAUCUAGACUACGCUGUGCAGUUCUGGUCCCCACAUUACAGGAAAGAUAUAGGUCUAUUAGAAUCAGUACAGAGGAGGAUGACUAAAAGGAUACAGGGGAUGAGGAGUAUUCCUUACUAAGCGAGGUUGAAGCUGUUAAAUUUACAUUCUUUAGAGAGAUGUAGGUUAAGAGGGGACCUGAUAGAAGUCUUUAAGUGCUAUAAGGGUUAUAACAAGGGGGAUGUAAGCAAAAUUCUUAGGAUCAGCAACCAGGGUAGAACAAGAAAUAACAGGUUCAAGCUUGAAAAAUUUAGGUUUAGGAAGGAGAUAGGAAAAAAUUGGUUCUCAAAUAGAGUGAUAGAUGAGUGGAACAGACUCAGUAAUCAUGUUGUUAGUGCUAGGACACUAGAGAGCUUUAAGAGAAGAUUAGACAAGUUUAUGGAUGGAGAUAAUAGAUGGAAAUAGGUAGGUAUAUUUCAUACAGGGACUGCCACAUGUAAGCCUGGUCGUUUCUUGCAGCUUCCCUUAUUUCUUAUGUUCUUAUAUAAUGUUUUCUUCAUUUUAUCAUGAUGCAUUAUUCAUAUAUAUAAGAUAUCUCUCAUAAUGUAUUUUCUCACAAUAUAUAUAAUUUUAGAUAUAUCUUACAGUAACAUUUGAUAUCAGUCCUCUUAUUUUUCUCAUGUAAUGCAGCAUUUCAUCAGGUUUGUGCUGUCUGUUACAGCAUAUGCAGGAAUUAUUUAAAUUCUGCAUGUUUACUUUGUGGUGACAUAAAUGCUUCUCUUCUCUGAAAUUUUCUUUGGUUAGCUACAUGUUAUUAACACUAUAUCUUUAGCUGCCAUAUGCCCACUGUAUAUCUUUACUUCAAUGUUGUUGUUGUUGUUGUUGUUGUUGUAUGCAGUAUUGAGUUGCCAUGUCAUUUGUUCUAAUUUGGAAGUCUUUGCAUUCUCUGUUAGGUGGUGUAGCCUUGCUAUGCUGACUCAGUUACCUCCUGAUGUACAUUCAAAACAGAGUUGAUAUGGGUAUAUGUUAAGGAAGGAUCACAGUCAGUAGUACUGGGAGUAAUGUACAGGCCACCAAACAGUACAAAGGAAAUUAACACCUCACUGUGGCAGGUAAUAAAUAGAGCAGGAAGGCACAGUCAGGUAUGUGUGAUAGGAGAUUUUAGUUUUAGGAAUAUCAACUGGAGCCUGAUGGUGGGUGACAAGGAAGCAGAGGAAUUUCUUAAGCUAAUUCAGGAUAAUUUUUUUAAACAAGUAGUCGUAGAACCCACAAGGGGGAACAAUAUUCUAGAUCUAAUUCUUACUAACAGGGAGGAAGCAGUCAUUCAGAUAGAGGUCAGAGGACAGCUAGGCAACAGUGACCAUUGGGAAAUUAGGUACAAAUUAAAAUGGGAAGAAACUUUUAAAAGUAAAAACACUAGUAAAAUACCUGACUUUAGGAGAGCAGAUUUUGAGGAAUUAAAAUGAUACCUCCAAGGAGUUGACCAGUAAUGGUUACAGGGUGAGGUCAGGUCUGGGAUGGAGUUGAGAGAGAUAAGAUAAGGCAGGAUAAGAGAGGUGAGGUGAGGUGUGAGGGUGAAGGACAAGAGGAGGGAAGAUGUGUCCGGAAGGGGUGGAGCAGAGAAAGGGGGAGAUAGGUGUAUGUUGAAGGGUCAGGUCAUGCUGAAAUUGGAGAGGUGAGGACAAGGUAAGUAGAUGAGGGAGUGGAGAGGAUGGAAGGGGCCGCGAUGAGAGGAUAAGGUGAAGUAAAUGUAGAUGAGUUGUAUGAAUAUUUCAUAGACAAACUGCAUACAGGACAGCUAGCAAACAUCCCAUAUAGAGCAAUAAGAUCACAGAAAAAUGACCCUAAAUUGAUGACUGCUAGAUUAAAACAUUAUAUAGGACAGAAGAGAAGUAUAUAUAAGAGAUUAAGGGCAGGUGAAGAGGUUUUAAGGCCACAAUAUAAUGAAUUAGAUAGAACGGUCAGGAGGUUAUCGAGGAAAGCUAAGAGCAAUUAUGAAUUAAAGGUGGCCAGCCAGGCAAAGAUGGACCCCAAGGGAUUUUAUCAGGUAUACAGGAUGAAGAAUAAGAAUACUAUAGGUCCAUUAAAGGCAGCAGAUAGGGGCAGGGGAAGACUAAAAGUAGCAUAUAUGAACAUAAAUUAACUAAUGUCAGCAGUGUUGGAACUGGAAGACUAUUUAAAAGAGGAAAAACCGGACAUCAUGGGAAUUGUUGAAACUAAAUUGGCAAGUGAAGGGGAUAUACUAAAUAUUGGUGAAGGAAAAUACAACCUCUGGAUGAGAAAUAGAAAGAAUAAACAGCAAGGAGGUGUGAUGCUUCUAGUUAGGAAGAAUUUAUUAGUGGAAUCUGUCACAUAUGGAGUGGAGGAGGCAGAAGUAUUGAAAACAGGCUUAAGACAGAAUAUUGGAAGAUACCAUAAUGUUGCGGUGACUUAUGUUCCCCCCUAUUCCAACUCUUGGAGAAAGGAUGAAUGCUUGACGACACAAGGACAUGUUUGACAGAGCUGCUUGAGGAAAAUGAUGAUAUAAUCCUGAUGGGGGACUUUAACUGUAAAGAGAUAUCUUGGGAGAAUUGGACCACAGAAGGCAGUGAGUCAUCAUGGGGGAACAAGCUAUUAGACCUGGCUAUUGAAAAUGUCCUGACACAGUGGGUUACAGAUGACACAAGAUUUAGGGGAAAUGAAGCACCUUCAAGGCUCGAUCUAAUUUUCACCAAGGAACAAGAAAUAGUAGAAGACCUUUAAUACAUAAACCCAAUAGGAAAAAGUGAUCAUGUGCUGAUUCAGUUCACAGUUAUGGAUAAUAACCGCAGUAUAAGGAAAGAGGACCACAGGAGAGAAUGGCUAAACUACAGCAAGACUAAUUUUGGACAACUUAGGAAGUGUUUCAGUCAAGUGAAUUGGAACAUAGUUAUUCAAAAGGAGGACAUAGAGGAAAAGUGGACAGCUUUCCUGGACAUUUAUAAUAAGGGAGUAGAGAAAUGGGUACCCAAAAGAUCAACAGAGAACCUUUUCAAAAAGGAUUGGUACAACAGGAGAUGUGCAACAGCUAGAUUGGAGAGAAAAAGUAUGGAACAAGUGGAAGAAAAACAAGAGACUGGACCUGUGGAACAAUUAUAUAAGGAAGAGGAACGAAUGUCAAAACUCGCAGAGAUGAUCAGAAAAAUUUUGAAAAGAAUGUUGUGGAGAAAUGUAAAGACCAACCAAAAUUAUUUUAUAAAUUCAUCAAUGGAAAAUUAAAGAGUUAAGAUGAAAUAAGCAUGAGAAGAGACAGUGGAUGACCCAGAAGAUGUAGAUGAAGUUUUUAACAGAUACUUCCACUCUGUGUUUACUAAGGAAAAUUAUUUCAGAGGUGAGAGGACAGCAUUAGAAAAAGGGACCAAUCUAAAGGAGAUUUGUAGAUCAGUAGAGGAUCAUUUGGAGAUCAGUAGAAGAAGUAAAGAUUAUGUUGGAAGACCUGGAUGUAAGGAAAGCAAUGGGUCCUGAUGGUCUAUCAAGUUGGAUUUUAAAAGAGUGUAGCUCACAAUUAGCCUCAGUGCUGCACAAUAUAAUUAGCACCACCCUGGUAAAAGGUAGAGUACCCAUAGUUUGGAAAUGGGCGGAUAUUACCCCAAUCCACAAGACUGGAAGUAAAGAAGAUCCAUUAAAUUAUAGACCUGUAUCACUCACAAGUGUGGUGGCAAAGAUUUGUGAAAAGAUUAUCAAGAACAGAUGGGUGGAAUACCUAGAAGACAACAAGGUGGUAACAGAGAAACAAUUUGGCUUCAGAAAAGGAAGAUCUUGUGUUACAAAUUUGGUAAGUUUCUACUCAAGAUUAAUAGAUAUAGUGCAAGAGAGAGAUGGAUGGUUCGACUGCAUAUACUUAGAUUUGAGAAAAGCAUUUGAUAAAGUUCCGCACAGAAGACUAAUAUGGAAAUUGGAAAAAAUUGGAGGACUUGCUGGAUCACUGUUAAAGUGGAUGACUGACUUUUUGACAAACAGAGAAAUGAGGAUAGUAAUUAAAGGCAGCAGGUUGAACUGGAAAAUGGUAAUAAGUGGAGUCCCACAAGGUUCAGUACUUGCACUUAUUAUGUUCACAGUUUAUGUAAAUGAUAUGACAGAAGGUGUAGAAAGUUACAUGAACCUUUCUGCUGAUGACGCUAAGAUUAUGAGGAAAGUAACAAAUGAAAAGGACUGCAAUGCUUUUAAUCAGGACUUAAUUAAGAUUAAUGAAUGGUCAUUGAGGUGGAACAUGGAGUUUAAUACUAAAAAAUGUAGUGUGAUGAGGUUUGGAAAAAGUGUGAGAAGACCAGUUGGCAACUAUUACUUAGGGAAUGAGGAAAUCUCUAUAAGAUGAGAAGAAAAAGAUCUAGGAGUAAUUAUUACUAAUAAUUUAUCAUUUGGGAAGCACAUAAACAAAAUUAUAGGAGAAACAUAUAAUCUGCUGAGAAACAUCAAGAUAGCAUUCUCCUAUAUUGAUGAAGAUAUGAUAAAAAAAAAAAUUGAUAACAAGGAUGAUACGUAUGAGAUUGGAGUACGCAGCAUCAGUGUGCUCGCCAAGUUUGAAAAAGGAUACAAAAAAGUUUGAAAGAAUCCAGAGAGCUGCAACUAAAAUCCCUGCAAGCUUAAAAGAGUAUAGUUAUGAGGAAAGGUUGAAGAGAUUCGGCCUGACUACACUAGAAAAAAGGAGGGAAAGAGGUGAUUUGAUAGCAAUAUAUAGAAUAUUGGAAGGAGUGGAAAAGUUGGACAGAGAAGACCUCAUGAUACCUGAUACAAGAGACACAAGAGGACAUGGAAGGAAAUUGAAAAGGAGUGUUUGCAGAAGCAAUAGGACAGUAGUUUGAGGGGCUAGAACGGUCACCAUUUUUAGGAACAGGUUGAAUGUAGGCAAACUUCCAGCAAGAAGGAAAGGUAGAUGUUGACAGACAGAGCUGAAAGAGUUUGACUAGGCAAGGUGCAAGCACAGAGGCACAGUUUCAGAGAACAAUAGGAGGGACCCCAUCAGGUCCAUAAGCCUUCCGAGGGUUUAGGCCAGCGAGGGCAUGGAAAACAUCAUUGCGAAGAAUUUUAAUAGCUGGCAUGAAGUAGUCAGAGGGUGGAGGAGAGGGAGGAACAAGCCCAGAAUCGUCCAAGGUAGGGUUUUUAGCAGAGGUUUGAGUGAAGAGUUCAGCUUUAGAAAUAGAUGUGAUAGCAGUGGUGCCAUCUGGUUGAAAUAGAGGAGGGAAAGAAGAAGAAGCAAAGUUAUUGGGAGAUAUUUUUGGCUAAAUGCCAGAAGUCACGAGGGGAGUUAGAUCUUGAAAGGUUUUGACACUUUCUGUUAAUGAAGGAGUUUUUGGCUAGUUGGAGAACAGACUUGGCAUGGUUCUGGGCAGAAAUAUCAAGUGCAUGAGAUUCUGAUGAUGGAAGGCUUAACUACCUUUUGUGGGCCACCUCUCUAUCAUGUAUAGCACAAGAACAAGCUCUGUUAAACCAAGGUUUAGAAGGUUUAGGUCGAGAAAAAGAGUGAGGAAUGUACGCCUCCAUGCCAGACACUAUCAACACUGUUAUGCGCUCAGCACACAAAGACGGGUCUCUGACACGGAAGCAGUAGUCAUUCCAAGGAAAAUCAGCAAAAUACCUCCUCAAACUACCGUCCUAUUGCUUUAAUUUCCUGCCUACCUAAAGUUUUUUAAUCUAUCCUCAACAGGAAGAUUCUUAAACAUCCAUCACUUCACAACCUUCUAUCUGAUUGCCAGUAUGGGUUCCGUCAAGGCUGCUCUACUGGUGAUCUGGCUUUCCUUACUGAGUCUUGGUCAUCCUCUUUUAGCAGGGUUCUGUCCUGUCAUCCACUCUCUUCUUAUUAUUCAUUAAUGAUCUAAACCAAACUUCUUGUCCUAUCUACUCCUACGCUGAUGAUACCACCCUGCACUUUUCCACAUCUUUUCAUAGACGUCCAACCCUUCAGGAGGUAAACAUUUCAUGCAGGGAAGCCACAGAACACUUGACUUCUGAUCUUUCUAAAAUUUCUGACUGGGGCAGAGCAAACUUGGUAUUGUUCAAUGCCUCAAAAACUCGACACAACCUUCCAGACAACUAUCCCCUCUUCUUCAAUGACACUCAACUGUCCCCCUCUUCUACAAUGAACAUCCUCGGUCUGUCCUUUACUUAUAAUCUGAACUGGAAACUUCACAUCUCAUCUCUAGCUAAAACAGCUUUUAUAAGUUAGGCAUUCUGAGACGUCUAUGCCAGUAUUUCUCACCCACCCCCCCCAGCUGCUAACUCUGUACAAGGGCCUUAUCCGUCCAUGUAUGGAGUAUGCUUCACAUGUCUGGGGGGGUUCCACUCAUACUGCUCUUCUAGACAGGGUGGAAUCAAAAGCUUUUCGUCUCAUCAACUCCUCUCCUCUAACUGACUGUCUUCAGCCUCUCUCUCACCACCGCAAUGUUGCAUCUCUAGCUGUCUUCUACUGCUAUUUUCAUGCUAACUGCUCUUCUGAUCUUGCUAACUGCAUGCCUCCCCUCCUCCUGCGGCCUCGCUGCACAAGACUUCUUUCUCUCAACCCUAUUCUGUCCAUCUCUCUAAUGCAAGAGUUAACCAGUAUUCUCAAUCAUUCAUCCCUUUUUCUGGUAAACUCUGGAACUCCCUGCCUGCUUCUGUAUUUCCACUUUCCUAUGACUUGAAUUCCUUCAAGAGGGAGGUUUCAAGACUACUGCUUUGACCCUUUUAUGGGACUGGCAUUUCAGUGGGCAUUUUUUUUUUUUAUUGGAUUUUUUGUCGCCCUUGGCCAGUGUCCUUCCUACAUAAAAAAAAAAAAAACAUCAAGAAACACAGCUUCUCACACAGAAGUAUAACAGUGUGGAAUGAACUCAAGAAUAAGACUGUGUGUGCAAAGACAAUUCAUAAAUUUAAAGAAAAUCUAGAAAUCUAGGUACUACAUUAGCCUGCCUCCACAUUGCUGGUACCUCACUUGACUCAAGUGAUUUCGUAAAGACAGAAACUAACAGCUCACUAAUAACCUAACUAGUAUGGUGAUGGGACAGCACAAGCCUAGUGUGGCUCUUGUCCUGUACUUCACAACUAGGUAAAUACAACUAUGUAGAUGGGGAGCUGGUUAGUUCUGGGAAGAGAUUAGUAAAAUUCUGAAUGAGUAUUUCUUAACUGUCUUCAUCCAGGAAAACAUGCAGGAUAUGCCAAAUAGUGAAAAGAUGUUUAGAGCAGAUGAAAAUGAGAAGCUGACAGAUAUUUCCAUAACUAAGGAGAUUGUGGAACAGGAGAUAGGCUAAAAAAGUUCAAGACACCAAGACCAAAUGAAAUAUAUCCCAGAGUACUUAAGGAAUGUAAAGAGGUUAUUAGUGCGCCGUUAGUUUCUGUCUUUACGAAAUCACUUGAGUCAGGUGAGGUACCAGUAAUGUGGAGGCAGACUAAUGUAGUACCCAUCUUUAAGAAAGGAGAUAAAACUUUAGUGUCUAAUUAUAGACCUGUCAGCUUAACUUCUGUUGUAGGUAAGAUAUUAGAGUCAAUAAUAACAAGGAACAUUAGGGAGCAUAUAGACAAACAUAAUUUGAUAAAUCAGUCACAGCAUGGCUUCACGAAGGGGAAGUCUUGCCUGACAAACUUAUUAAGAUUUUACAGUAAAGUGUAUGGGGCAGUAGAUAAUGGUGAUAGUUAUGACAUCUUAUAUCUGGACUUUAGUAAAAGCUUUUGACAAGGUACCCCAUCAGAGGCUACUGGGAAAUGUUGGGGCACACAGGAUAGAUGGGAAGGUGUUAGGCUGGAUAAGGUCAUGGCUAAGCAACAGGCAACAAAGAGUUAUAAUAAACAGCUCUAAAUCCGAAUGGGGUCAUGUAAUUAGUGGGGUGCCACAGGGAUCAGUAUUAGGGCGAUUGUUGUUUUUAAUAUAUAUCAAUGACUUGGAUAGUGGAAUUAGUGAUGUUAGUAAAUUUGCGGAUGACACAAAAAUAAGUAGAUUAAUUAGGUCAGAAUUAGGUCAAAUUAAUUAGAUCAAAUGCUAUUGCCUUGCAGGCAGAUUUAGAUAGGAUGAAUGAAUGGACAGAUAGAUGGCAAAUGCAGUUUAAUAUCAACAAAUACAAAGUACUUAGUGUAGGUAGAGGAAACCCACACAGUAGCUACACAAUAAACAACGAAACUCUGGUAGGUUCAGGGUACGAAAAAGAUUUAGAAGUUAUAGUUAGCUCUGAACUCCAUCUAGGAAAGCAAUGCAUUGAGGCCAAAAACACGGCAAACAGGGUAUUAGGAUUAAUUUUUAGGAGUGUUAAAAGUAGAAGGCGCGAAAUAAUAUUAAAGUUAUAUGCUGUGCAGUUCUGGUCCCCACAUUACAGGAGAGAUAUAGGUCUAUUAGAAUAAGUACAGAGGAGAAUGACUAAAAGGAUACAGGGGAUGAGGAGUAUUCCUUAUGAGGCAAGAUUGAAGCUGUUAAAUUCACAUUCUUUAGAGAGAUGUAGGUUAAGAGGGGGCCAGAUAGAAGUCUUUAAGUGGUAUAAGGGUUAUAACAAGGGGGAUGUAAGCAAAAUUCUUAGGAUCAGCAACCAGGAUAGAAAAAGAAAUAACAGGUUCAAGCUUGAAAAAUUUAGGUUUAAGAAAGAGAUAGGAAGAAAUUGGUUCUCAAAAAGAGUGGAAGAUGAGUGGAACAGAUUUAGUAAUCAUGUUGUUAGUGCUAGGACAUUAGGGAGCUUUAAGAGAAGAUUAAACAGGUUUAUGGAUAAAUGGGGAUAAUAGGUGGAAAUAGGUAGGUAUAUUUCAUACAGGGACUGGCACGUGUAAGCCUGGUCAAUUCUUGCAGCUUCCCUUAUUUCUUAUGUUCUUACAUUGCAAUGUCUCUUGGUGCUGCUGUAUACUAUAUAUGUAUGCUAUAAGAUAGUGAUGACUUUUGUGUGAUCUCUUAAUGCAACUAACCAUGUGUUCUGUCUUAUAAGGCAUUAGUGUUUGAUAAACACCUUGAUGUUGCCAAAUGUUUGUGCAGGUGUGGGAAAAAAAAGUCUCUUAUGAAUGCUGCUGUCUUUCAUAGUAAGGCCUUGGUUUUAUUUUCUGCCCUGUGUUACAUACCUAGUGUGUGUUGUACUGUUUUUCAUGUUUUAUAAGCAGCACAUACUUGUUAACAUUUCAGAAUACCUGCUGUUAAACAAUUAAUAUAAAUAAAACUUUAAUAUUGU